RNAcentral lists this ribosomal RNA (484 nucleotides) under uncultured bacterium. Its description in RNAcentral is "bacterial SSU rRNA". It matches the Rfam family "Bacterial small subunit ribosomal RNA", at positions 501 to 988 of the family's 1533-position model. The record is from RNAcentral.
CUACGUGCCAGCAGCCGCGGUAAUACGUAUGUCACAAGCGUUAUCCGGAUUUAUUGGGCGUAAAGCGCGUCUAGGUGGUUAUGUAAGUCUGAUGUGAAAAUGCAGGGCUCAACUCUGUAUUGCGUUGGAAACUGCAUGACUAGAGUACUGGAGAGGUAAGCGGAACUACAAGUGUAGAGGUGAAAUUCGUAGAUAUUUGUAGGAAUGCCGAUGGGGAAGCCAGCUUACUGGACAGAUACUGACGCUAAAGCGCGAAAGCGUGGGUAGCAAACAGGAUUAGAUACCCUGGUAGUCCACGCCGUAAACGAUGAUUACUAGGUGUUGGGAAUCGAACCUUAGCGCCCAAGCUAACGCGAUAAGUAAUCCGCCUGGGGAGUACGUACGCAAGUAUGAAACUCAAAGGAAUUGACGGGGACCCGCACAAGCGGUGGAGCAUGUGGUUUAAUUCGACGCAACGCGAGGAACCUUACCAGCGUUUGACAUC